AGUGGCGAACGGGUGAGGAUCACGUGAGAAACCUGCCCCAGACUUUGGGAUAACAGUUGGAAACGACUGCUAAUACCGAAUGAUGUCGGAGAACCGCAUGGUUCACUGACGAAAGGUAAUCCGGUUUGGGAGGGUCUCGCGGCCUAUCAGCUUGUUGGUGGGGUAAUGGCCUACCAAGGCAACGACGGGUAGCUGGUCUGAGAGGGUGAUCAGCCACACUGGGACUGAGACACGGCCCAGACUCCUACGGGAGGCAGCAGURGGGAAUCUUGCGCAAUGGGCGAAAGCCUGACGCAGCAACGCCGCGUGCGGGAUGAAGGCCUUCGGGCUGUAAACCGCUUUCAGCAGGAACGAAAAUGACGGUACCUGCAGAAGAAGGACCGGCC
RNAcentral lists this ribosomal RNA (386 nucleotides) under uncultured eubacterium 4-59. Its description in RNAcentral is "bacterial SSU rRNA". It matches the Rfam family "Bacterial small subunit ribosomal RNA", at positions 94 to 498 of the family's 1533-position model. Lineage: Bacteria; Bacillati; Actinomycetota; Actinomycetes. The record is from RNAcentral.